RNAcentral lists this transfer RNA (73 nucleotides) under Thalassoglobus neptunius. RNAcentral's name for it is "Planctomycetes bacterium KOR42 tRNA-Asn". It matches the Rfam family "tRNA". From Rfam's summary of the family: Transfer RNA (tRNA) molecules are approximately 80 nucleotides in length. Lineage: Bacteria; Pseudomonadati; Planctomycetota; Planctomycetia; Planctomycetales; Planctomycetaceae. The record is from RNAcentral.
UGCGGUGUGGCCCAAUGGUAAGGCAGCUCCCUGUUAAGGAGACGCAUGCAGGUUCGAAUCCUGCCACCGCAGC